GGACGAACGCUGGCGGCGUGCCUACUACAUGCAAGUAGAACGCACAGUUUAUACCGUAGCUUGCUACACCAUAGACUGUGCGUUGCGAACGGGUGAGUAACGCGUAGGUAACCUGCCUGGUAGCGGGGGAUAACUAUUGGAAACGAUAGCUAAUACCGCAUAAUAUUGAUUAUUGCAUGAUAAUUGAUUGAAAGAUGCUAUUGCAUCACUACCAGAUGUACCUGCGUUGUAUUAGCUAGUAGGCGAGGUAACGGCUCACCUAGGCGACGAUACAUAGCCGACCUGAGAGGGUGAUCGGCCACACUUGGACUGAGACACGGCCCAGACUCCUACGGGAUGCAGCAGGAGGGAAUCUUCGGCAAUGGACGAAAGUCUGACCGAGCAACGCCGCGUGAGUGAAGAAGGUUUUCGGAUCGUAAAGCUCUGUUGUAAGAGAAGAACGGGUGUGAGAGUGGAAAGUUCACACUGUGACGGUAUCUUACUAGAAAGGGACGGCUAACUACGUG
This 506-nucleotide ribosomal RNA is filed under the name uncultured bacterium. RNAcentral's name for it is "partial 16S ribosomal RNA". It matches the Rfam family "Bacterial small subunit ribosomal RNA", at positions 27 to 507 of the family's 1533-position model. The record is from RNAcentral.